This 497-nucleotide ribosomal RNA is filed under the name uncultured bacterium. RNAcentral's name for it is "partial 16S ribosomal RNA". It matches the Rfam family "Bacterial small subunit ribosomal RNA", at positions 28 to 507 of the family's 1533-position model. The record is from RNAcentral.
GAUGAACGCUGGCGGCGUGCCUAAUACAUGCAAGUCGAGCGAACAGAUGAGAAGCUUGCUCCUCUGACGUUAGCGGCGGACGGGUGAGUAACACGUGGAUAACCUACCUAUAAGACUGGGAUAACUUCGGGAAACCGGAGCUAAUACCGGAUAAUAUAUUGAACCGCAUGGUUCAAUAGUGAAAGACGGUUUUGCUGUCACUUAUAGAUGGUUCCGCGCCGCAUUAGCUAGUUGGUAAGGUAACGGCUUACCAAGGCAACGAUGCGUAGCCGACCUGAGAGGGGGGUCGGCCACACUGGAACUGGGACACGGUCCAGACGCCUACGGGAGGCAGCAGUAGGGAAUCUUCCGCAAUGGGCGAAAGCCUGACGGAGCAACGCCGCGUGAGUGAUGAAGGUCUUCGGAUCGUAAAACUCUGUUAUUAGGUAAGAACAAAUGUGUAAGGAACUGUGCACGUCGUGACGGUACCUAAUCAGAAAGCCACGGCUAACUACGUG